This 766-nucleotide ribosomal RNA is filed under the name Staphylococcus epidermidis. RNAcentral's name for it is "bacterial SSU rRNA". It matches the Rfam family "Bacterial small subunit ribosomal RNA", at positions 28 to 776 of the family's 1533-position model. Lineage: Bacteria; Bacillati; Bacillota; Bacilli; Caryophanales; Staphylococcaceae. The record is from RNAcentral.
GAUGAACGCUGGCGGCGUGCCUAAUACAUGCAAGUCGAGCGAACAGACGAGGAGCUUGCUCCUCUGACGUUAGCGGCGGACGGGUGAGUAACACGUGGAUAACCUACCUAUAAGACUGGGAUAACUUCGGGAAACCGGAGCUAAUACCGGAUAAUAUAUUGAACCGCAUGGUUCAAUAGUGAAAGACGGUUUUGCUGUCACUUAUAGAUGGAUCCGCGCCGCAUUAGCUAGUUGGUAAGGUAACGGCUUACCAAGGCAACGAUGCGUAGCCGACCUGAGAGGGUGAUCGGCCACACUGGAACUGAGACACGGUCCAGACUCCUACGGGAGGCAGCAGUAGGGAAUCUUCCGCAAUGGGCGAAAGCCUGACGGAGCAACGCCGCGUGAGUGAUGAAGGUCUUCGGAUCGUAAAACUCUGUUAUUAGGGAGGAACAAAUGUGUAAGUAACUAUGCACGUCUUGACGGUACCUAAUCAGAAAGCCACGGCUAACUACGUGCCAGCAGCCGCGGUAAUACGUAGGUGGCAAGCGUUAUCCGGAAUUAUUGGGCGUAAAGCGCGCGUAGGCGGUUUUUUAAGUCUGAUGUGAAAGCCCACGGCUCAACCGUGGAGGGUCAUUGGAAACUGGAAAACUUGAGUGCAGAAGAGGAAAGUGGAAUUCCAUGUGUAGCGGUGAAAUGCGCAGAGAUAUGGAGGAACACCAGUGGCGAAGGCGACUUUCUGGUCUGUAACUGACGCUGAUGUGCGAAAGCGUGGGGAUCAAACAGG